CAACGGUUGGAGCGGCGAAACAAAGCGGAUAUAAUAUGACGCGAAGAAAACAGACCAUGGCGAAUCAUUUUAUCUACAAAGAAAAUCUGACCAUGUUUAGGCUAGCAGAGAUCGCUUAGCUGCGUCUGAUUGCGGCCCCUUUGCGUGGUCACGCACGUCCGUGCACGUGCGUCAAAACCAUGAAGCAAUGGAGCGCCACUUGCCCCCGAGGAUCUGGGAGCUCUGGACACGGUUCAGACGGUGGAGCCGCGGAGGCAGACAGCGGUGGCAGCCGGAGGGGGAAGUUGCUGUGCACGGUCGUCCACCUAGGCGUUGGAGGACUCGCUUUGAGCGAGCCACUUCCCACGUUCUGGAAGUUGGCCCCCCCACCUCUGGCAUUGAGGUACCCCGCUUUGACCUGCCUUCUUACACACAACUUCCUCUUUACACUGAUCUCUUUCCUCCUCAUUCUCCUCCACGCUUUCCUGUUCCUUCUGCUAUUCCUUCCUCACCUCCUCCUCCCUAUUCUCCUCCACACUCUCCUGUUCCUUCUUCUGUUCCUUCCACACCCCCUCCUCCUUAUUCUCCUGUUCCUUCUCGCUCUUUUGCUGCUCCUCAUUCUCCUCCACGCUCUCCUGUUCGUCCUUCUUCUGUUCCUUCCACACCCCCUCCUCCCUAUUCUCCUGUUCCUUCUUGCUCUUUUGCUCCUCCUCAUUCUCCUCCACGCUCUCCUGUUCGUCCUUCUUCUGUUCCUUCCACACCCCCUCCUCCUUUUUCUCCUGUUCCCUCUUGCUCUCCGGCUCCUCCUCUUUCUCCUCCAUGCUCUUUUGCUCCUUCUUCUUCUAUUCCACCUUCACCCCCUGCUCCUUCCCCUCUGGUUCCACCUAUUGUGGCUCCUUCUGAGCUGCCCUGUGUUCCCGAUGCUGGCCUUCCCCUGUCUCCUGUUAUUCAGGACUCAGGCUCCACAGUGGAAGGGACCAGUGAGGACUUAGCGGUUGGGGAAACCAACGAGGCUCCUAGCAGCGGCAGCAGCAGCAGCACACCUGGUAGAGGUAGGGAGGACAGUGAUGAGGAGGGGGCUGCUCCCAAAAGACCAUGUUUUACUGUGAGACACUGUGUCACACAGUAA
Molecule: long non-coding RNA, 1108 nt
Filed under: Betta splendens (Siamese fighting fish)
Lineage: Eukaryota; Metazoa; Chordata; Actinopteri; Anabantiformes; Osphronemidae
Description: lncRNA (ENSBSLG00000016262.1)
Source: RNAcentral